This 3268-nucleotide long non-coding RNA is filed under the name Cricetulus griseus (Chinese hamster). RNAcentral's name for it is "lncRNA (ENSCGRG00015031721.1)". Lineage: Eukaryota; Metazoa; Chordata; Mammalia; Rodentia; Cricetidae. The record is from RNAcentral.
AAACAUAUACACAGAAGGAUCUCCCCCAUCAGGAUCCCAUUCCUUUAAUCCCAGCACUAGAGAGGAAUAUAAGGCAGGAGGAGACAGGAGCUCAGUCUGAGGAGCAGUGCAGUCUGAAGAUGCAGUCUGAGGACAUGAUCUCCCUUUCAGUUUGAGCAUUGGCAGAGCUAGUAAAUGUUUGGAGGAUGAUGCCAUCUGUGAGAAAAAGAUAAAGGACUCCCGGCUUCUGCCUUCCUUGGUUACCACUCUCUCUGGACCCUGACUGCUUACUCAGAGGGAAGGUGGGUGAUUUGGCCAUCCCAUUCCGGAACUGCUGCCAAUCCUUGGUGCAAGCACAACAUUGCCAAGAACUCCCAAGACUAUUGCUGUCCUCAGUCUUGGUCAGAAAAGCUUCUGUUUGUAGUGAAUGGCAGUUAAUACAGAGACUCACCGUUGGUCAAGAUGUCAAGAAUAAGUGACCAUGCAAGUUCUACCUUCAAUGGGACAUCUGUGUCACCCUUUCCAAGGCUCAGGGAAUACUGAAAAUGAGAGGAUGGAGAGAAUAUAAGGAUGAUGAGGAAGACCCUGAAAUAGUUGUGUGAGCAUAGCAUGUCAUUAUACUUAUGAAUGCAUAUCACCUGUGGUUGCCUACCGAGAUACUCUAUAGGACUGGGCCUGUCAAUCAAUAUUCAGUCACUAAAGUGGAAGGGCUCAUGGGGCCUGCUGUCUCCCUGAGGAGCUUAUUGGCUGCUGAUGGCUGUUGGGGAGCAGAGUCAUUGUAUAUUUACUGGGUCUUAUGUAUCCCAUGCUAGCCUUGAACUCAAAAAUCCAAGGAUGUACUUAAACUUCUGAAUCUUCCAUUUCUACCCACCCAGUGCUGGGAUUACAGUGAUGUCCAGGUCCCUUGCUCCCUUGGCAGCUACAUGGAGUCUUCUUUGAGACCCUCUGUUGUCCCGCGCGAUCGUCUCGCCAGCAAGAACGACACAGGACACUCGGAUCCUUCUGCAGUAAAGCUUUAAUGCAUCUUGAGAGAGAGAGAGAGAGCAUAAGCUUACAGAGCGGAGACCCUGAACUCCCAAGAACCCAUCCCUUAUAAAGGCUGGCAACUGCCACCUCGGACGUGUUACCCCCUGACUCGCUGCAGCUCAUCGGACCAUAUGACGCCACGGAAGAGGCAGAGACCAAGGGAUGGAAAGUUACCCAGCGCCUGCGCACUAACUUGUUUACAUUCGGUGCCUGCCGGAUGCAGGCGCCAUCUUGUAAUGGAGAAUGCAGGGACGGCUCCCUACACUCUGUGUUCCUCUUCCCCGAAUUUCCCUAGUCUUGUAGCCCCACCUAUACUUCCUGCCUGUCUAGAUCCUGUCUGUCCAUUGGCCAAAACAGCUUUAUUCAUCAACCAAUAAGAGAAACGUAUGUUCACAGCAUAUAGAAGGACAUCAUCAUCCCCCAUCAUCUCUUUAGUUACAUUUCAGAUGAUCACUCAUCUUCUGUCUGCCUACAGAUUGAUCUGCAUAUGCCUCCUGUGUCUCCCAGAUGCUAUUGCUGUCAUUCUAGGGCAAGUAGCAGUAUAGUAUAGCCUUGGAGGGGGAGGGCUCUGGUAACAGAUGGCUUAGACCUGAGUCCCUGUUCUUUCUAGGGAAGUUCCUUAAACUUCCCAUGUCUGUUUCCUUACCUACAAAAUAUGGUGAUGAUGCUAAUAAUCUCUACCUCACAGGUUGGUAUGAGGUGGUUGCCCCUGACAUAUAAUAAAUAAUAAGGCCCUGGGAAGCAAUGUCCCAGAUUAAAUGUCACCAUCUGUACCUUCACUUUGCUUCUGGAAGUCACUCUCACAGUCACUCUUUGGUGACCUGGUUCAAAGGAACUCAUUUACCCUGAACCUUAUCACCUUAGUUAGCUGCUGCCUUAGCUCUCUAGCUCCUCUCUGUUCAUUGAAUUGUGACGAGUUUUAGUUCCUUGGCUGAGCUGUCUCUUUUCCUUUCUGACUGGCAACCCCAGCUGGAGUACCUUUCUUCUCUCUUGUGCUUGUGUCAUUUAAGCUUCUCUUGACAACACUUUCAACCCUUUUGCCUAUUUAUGAUGCAGUGUCAAAUUCUGGAUAAAUCUAGUAGAAUUGUCUUUGCUUUCGUUCUUGUGUCACCGAAACUAGAAGGGAGUCCAGAAUAUGGCAGAUUGAUGUCAUCAGAAACAUUGGGGUUCUUUAAUCCUUAUAGAUCCUAAAGCCCACAGGUGGCCCUCCUUAUGUGCCUUUAGUAGCUUCCUUUCCUACUUCCUACACCAAAUUGUCCCAACUUUCCUCAUCUUUCUCAUACAUCCUACCCUGGAUGUUUCCUUUACCAAACCUGGAUGGUGUGAACAAUAUGUAUUCCUACCAUUGAUUUUCCAGAAUACUUUCCUCUGUACCCUUAUUUCUUUCAAUUUUUUCCCCUCCCACAGUGCAAAAUUAGUUCCUUGGCUGGGGUAGUAGUUCCCGUCUGUUCACAUGGCUGAUGAUAGUCUAAUUCCGUGAUGACCUUUAUGACUACACAGUCAUCUGAUGCCCAGCAAGGUUGAGGAACUGGAACCUCUAGAGUUUCUACACUAAGGGGCUCUUGCCCUGUAGGCGCCACAGAUGUGCUUGCUGAAAACAUAACCAGCAGAGGGCACUGUACAGCCAGGACAUAUCUCAGGCUUGUCACAUGCUGUGGAACAUUUGGCAGAGCUUUUUGAAUGCAGCUCUAAGAGCACACUAUUACAACCACAUCAUUUUACUGGAAAGUUAUUAGUCUCUUCAUGGAAUAUCAGAAGGUUUUAAAGUCCUGACAUCAGAGGAUGGAGGUGACAGAGCAAAAAAUGAAAAAAAAUUCAUUUGUCACUUAAAAUUGCCACAUGGUAGGAAUGCCACUAGAAAAGAGAAGACCCUCACUGCAGAUCAUCAAAAACAGACACAAGAGUCCUCAUCCAGUGGCUGAUGGAAGCAGAGACAGACAUCCACAGAAAUACACUGAGCUGAAAUCUGGAACCUAGUUGAAGAGAGGAAGGAAUGAAGAACGAAGGGGUCUAUACCAGGUUGGAGAAACCCACAGAAACAGUUGGCCCGAAAAAGGGAAAGCAUAUCGACCCCAGACGCUCUUUGGGAGGCCAGUACGGGACUAAUCCAGCCCCCUCAUCAUGGAUGCCAAUGGGGAGGCCCCUGCACUCCUGGGAGCUUCCGGAGGUGGACUGGCGUUUUGCCCUGGCCCUCCCAGAUUCACUGCCACCCAAUGGUGGGAGCAAGAUCAAAAAUGACAACUGAAGCUAGUGUGGACUUGAG